UAUCUGACAAGAUUAAUCUUACACAGUUUUCAAUAAAUUUGCAUUUCGUUGUGUUUUCUCAAUGAAAUUUACAUGGAUUUUCUAUUUUAUUUCCAGAAGACUUCAGGAAAAAAAUUGAAGGACCACAGAACUUAGGUAAAUUUUCUGACCAUGCCUUCCUCCCACAUGUCCUCAGGAUGACUCCUUUCUUGGUGUCUUUAA
Molecule: long non-coding RNA, 201 nt
Filed under: Sus scrofa (pig)
Lineage: Eukaryota; Metazoa; Chordata; Mammalia; Artiodactyla; Suidae
Description: lncRNA (ENSSSCG00070001154.1)
Source: RNAcentral